This 425-nucleotide ribosomal RNA is filed under the name uncultured bacterium. RNAcentral's name for it is "partial 16S ribosomal RNA". It matches the Rfam family "Bacterial small subunit ribosomal RNA", at positions 354 to 796 of the family's 1533-position model. The record is from RNAcentral.
GUGGGGAAUAUUGGACAAUGGGCGAAAGCCUGAUCCAGCAAUGCCGCGUGAGUGAUGAAGGCCUUAGGGUUGUAAAGCUCUUUCACCGGUGAAGAUAAUGACGGUAACCGGAGAAGAAGCCCCGGCUAACUUCGUGCCAGCAGCCGCGGUAAUACGAAGGGGGCUAGCGUUGUUCGGAAUUACUGGGCGUAAAGCGCACGUAGGCUGAUAUUUAAGUCAGGGGUGAAAUCCCGGGGCUCAACCCCGGAACUGCCUUUGAUACUGGGUAUCUUGAGUAUGGAAGAGGUCAGUGGAAUUGCGAGUGUAGAGGUGAAAUUCGUAGAUAUUCGCAGGAACACCAGUGGCGAAGGCGGCUGACUGGUCCAUUACUGACGCUGAGGUGCGAAAGCGUGGGGAGCAAACAGGAUUAGAUACCCCUGUAGUCC